GGUUGUGGUGGUAUGCCGUAAAGCGUUUUCUGCCAGCGUUGUCUUAUAAAUACUCUUCAGACUCCUUGAACGGUCUCAUUUCGUCAGUCUUCAGGAUCGCUUUGGUAAAGUAGCAUGCUAACAUACUCUGUCGACGGUGCUGCUAAAUGCAGCAAUGAAGGAAAUUACAGACUCCACAUUUGGCUAUCUUGAGUUGAGCCAGAACUCUGUGCGCCAGAAGCUCUUCCACGCGGGAAAAGCUUAACAUGAAGAUGUUUAAUUCAAGAUCAAACUCGGCUUCAACCGCUUCAAGGAGCAACUGAGUUGCCCUGAAUACCCAAGAGUUCCUGAGCUUGUGGUCAUUUGCCGAGUCAUGUCUACCAAAUGGCCACGGGGUGGCUCAAGCCCUGAUGCAGAGCGGCCCUUUGGCCUGUUGUAUCAUGUGCCAAGGGCUCUGAGAGGGUAAUGAAUUAAGUACACCAGGACUGGUCUUUUGAUGAUCCAGAACUUGGCUGAAUGAUACAUCUCCAGUGAAGGUUGUGCAUCCCUGGCCAACAAAUGACCAGAGUAAGGUGAUCUGUUUCAGCCCUGCAUGCACCCAUCAAGUUAAGAGGUGUUUGAAGAAAUUAACAAGAUGAAUGCUUUCUCCAAGAUGCAAUUGAAAAUGUAGCUCAAUCUGACCUGUUGAGCUUCUGAUAAUUUCAAUAAAAUUAUUGGUAAUGCAA
Long non-coding RNA from Oncorhynchus keta (chum salmon), 704 nucleotides. RefSeq lists it as uncharacterized. The record is from RefSeq and is a predicted model, not a curated record. Lineage: Eukaryota; Metazoa; Chordata; Actinopteri; Salmoniformes; Salmonidae. The transcript is spliced from 9 exons.